AGAAAAGGGGUGUGGGUGUGAGUUUGGGGAGGUGGGAGCAGCAUUUAAGGGCACCCGCUCAUGCCGAAACAGUGUAGGGGAAAACUACGUGUCAUUUGGGUGUUGACAAGGUGAGACAAUGUGACCUCGUGAAAAUUGGGGCGCAUGGGAAACGGUUAGAUUUGUAGGGGGGCAUGUGAAUAUCUGCUGCAGCCACAUGCCCAAGUUAUAAUUUUUUUAUUUUUACCCCGUACGUCUAAAAAAAAAUUUAAUGGCGGACGAUGCGGAUUAACCCCUCACCUCCCUGAGAGCUUCCGCAGUUUCCAGUUAAAACUCCGGCAUGACCGGAAAGCCACCAGUUAAAAACCGCGGUUGUCGACAGACAAUAAUAUCGUUAUUUUCUAGAAAACACUGCAUUUUGCCCGUGGCGCUACAAUUAACCACAAUGCACAGUAAGAAAAGAAAAAAAAUGGAAGGGUGACUCCUCUCCCAUAAAUGUUUUUUUAAUUUUUUUUAAAAAAAAUUAUUCCUUUUUAAGUUUUGGGUUUUUUUUUAACGUUACAUUCACGUUUCUCCUUGCGUUUUGGAAGCUCACGUGAGACAUCAAUAAAAUUUUUCAGAGCAGAUUUUUUGUCUAGGUUAAAAAAAAAAAAUAGGACAUCAAAGAGAAUGUUCUUUCCAUCCCCCCCCCUCCCCUGAAGAGACAGGAAAGCUGUGCAAAUAUUCAAGUGAAAUUUUACAAUUUUGUUAAAAAUGGCGAGAAAUCUGCGGGCGAAUGUUAGAGGGAGAGAGAGAGAGAGGGUGGCAGUUGUGCAGAGGGAAGGCAUGAUGGGUCUGUGCGAGGGGCUGUGUGAUUAAAGAGAGCAGGGCUGGACCUUGCUUUCAUCAUCAGCACAAAGGCAUCUGAUUGGCUGGCACUUUGGCUCCUCCUCUUUGUGAGGCAGACUGCUCGCUUGCUCACAAGGGGGAGAUGGGAGUUGGGAAAAAGACUGCUUUUUGCUAGUUACAUUCUGCCUGCAAGGGCCUCCCCUUCAGAGUAGAACUUUUUCUACUGCAGCAAAUAGCAGAAAUUGGUUUUGGGGUUUUUUUUUGCUUUUUUUGCUUUUAUUUAAACCCCCCUUUUUUUAUAUCAUGGACUGAUGUUUUUUGGGGGGCGGUUAAUCCUUCAAAAAUUCUGCUUCUUUAUUUUUUCUCCUGAGCUGUGGGGGGAUUUGUGGUUGUGCCCACUUAUUAGAGAAAUUGAUUUUUUUUCCCUAAGCUUCUCUUCUGCCAAUGGGGUAUUCGCCAUUUGAUUCCUUUCUAUAUUUCCCAAUGUGACGCACUUGUCCGCCGCCUAUAUUUUUUCCCGCGGUUUCCAAUAAGAAUCAGAUUAAUCAUUUUAUUUCCCUUUUCUUUUUUUUUUAUAUCUCCAUUUACAAUAUUGGGGCUGAAGGGUUGUUUUUUAAACCCCCCCCACCACCAAUUGCAAUGUAUUUUUGGAAUGGGAGGGAAAUGGCGUGUGCACUGCCUGGGAUAGGUGCCAGCGUGAAAACAAAAGACAUAAAAUAGGCGGCAAACAUGGAAAAUGGCAGCGCGCACUCAUACGCACGCAAAAAAAACGCAAUCGACAAAUGACUGGUGGUGCGUCAGGCUCUGAGCUGUCGAGGUGUCAAGAAAAUGUUUUCCGAUUCCGAGGGGGCUGCAAGGUGAAGCUUCUCUCUCUCCCCCAUUCCUCCGUCUGUAGGUGCCCAAGGCUGCUUCCCACCUCCUGCAGGGUGAGAAUGGUUUCACAGAUGGGAAAGAGUGUGGUUACAGGGAACGGUUUGAUGAAUAUGAAAAUAGAUCACGUUUCCCAGCAUUCCCCUGUGAUGGGCAUCCCAUGAGCCUCAGCACAAUUACCUGGCAAUGUGUGAGUUUGUGAUCCACCUGUGAUCUUCCUUUUGUUGGUUGUCUGCAGAGUUUUACUGUAUCUCGUAAUGACAUCACAAUGGGAAUUCCCAAUAACCAUCAAGGAUAAGGACAGUUGGAACCAUCCCUUUAAGAGAUUCACAGAACUUGCCUUUAAGAGAUGUGGUGAUGCCCAACCUUAAGGAUAUCUGGGAUUUCACUGGGAAGACUUUGGCAACUCCCCUUUUAGGGUUGUGAGACAUUUUGUGCUUUAAGGAUGUGCAACUUCAUUCCCUUAUUGUCUCCUCACUAUAGUAGUGACCCCCGGAAUGUGAUCUCCUCACCACAGAGCCCCCCGUGAUGGAUGAUCCCCCCGAGUACAGGCAGAAAGGAGCGACACUUGGAGAGACACCGGCCUUCAGAUUAACCCUUCGGAUGCUACAGCCAUGGCGACAGAGGUGCCCCUGGCUGUGCUGCAAUGAAUUUACAUGGGGCAAAAUCACAGGAGGUAAGUGGCUUUGGCAGAUCAGUGAUUUCCAAUCAGAAUGGAGAAUUCUGGGUAAUGGACUGAGCGAUUCACUAGAAGGAAGGGAAUUCUGGGAGAUAAAUCCAUCUCUGGGCAGUGAUGUGGGAGCAGCUGGGGUGACAGGGUGGUGAGACCCAGAGGGUGGGUGUUGGGGUGCUGGGAGUUGGUUCCUUACAAAUAAAAUUGAUUUGCUCUUUCAGGGAUAGUGAAACCCCCAGCUCUGCCCUAUAAUUGCCCUGACAGUUUGCCCAGGUGGAUACGUUGCCCUUUGCAGGGAGAGUGAACUUGUGGUUCUCAUGUGAGUCGGAUCCAUCACUGGUGAUUGUGGUGCAAGUGAAAUUCACAUCACUCGGGGCCCUCCUCUCACUGUCAUCUGAGGGACAAACUGUCAUCUGAGGCAAAACCCACCAGACAAUUACCCUCAUUUCACUUUAACUCUUCUGACUCACUGAAUUCCUAAGGAACCAUGGGAGUUGCCGGUCAAUGCCGGAACCAUAUGACCAACCUGCUGGAACCCACCAAACUGUUACUGCCAAUGAGGGGCACACAAUUAUGGGGUACAGGGGGGCACCAGUGUAGAAUGCCCAGUGAGACCCUAAUUAAUGAGCAAUUUCAACCACUGAUUGAACUGAAACUUUCCUGAAAUUGACUUCAGCUUCUACACUAGCCGCUGGUGGGUGCAGGGAGUUGUAACCAGUGUUCUAAAAUGUCUUGACCAUCUCUUAUUCCUGAACUGAAAGGGUUAAUUAAAUUUGGCUGAGGGGCAGAGAGCUGAAUAGAGGAACAGUAACUGGCGCCUAAAUUAUGGCAGUGAGACCCCCUAGUGGCUGCUCCCUGGUACUGUCUCAUAUUGGAUUAAACCAAGCGCUGACGCUAGAGUCUGGGCGGAGCCUUGUGAAAUGACGCACUGGCUCCUCCUUCUCCUUUCACCUGACACUGACUGGCCCCAACAACACUGAACAACCAUUACAGACAAUGGGCCCCUGCAAUUUAAUAAUGAAAGUUGUACUUCCCCUUCAGGAAAACUUGGGGAGGGAAGUAGAGACAGUCACACGAGUACCAGGAAAUACACUCCCCCGUGCAAAGGAAGUACAGACAGUCACAUGACUACCAGGAAUUACACUACCCCGUGCA
Long non-coding RNA from Xenopus laevis (African clawed frog), 3505 nucleotides. RefSeq lists it as uncharacterized. The record is from RefSeq and is a predicted model, not a curated record. The transcript is spliced from 6 exons. NCBI's taxonomy places the organism in Eukaryota, Metazoa, Chordata, Amphibia, Anura, Pipidae.